AAGUCGUAACAAGGUUUCCGUAGGUGAACCUGCGGAAGGAUCAUUACCUUUCACAGUACAGAAGAAUUGUGUAGGGACUCCCCUCGCUAUCCUUCCUGUAUACCACCCUUGUCUUUUGCGCACUCAUGUUUCCUCGGCAGGCUUGCCUGCCGGCUGGACAAAAAUUAUAACCUUUUUUAAUUUUCAAUCAGCGUCUGAAAUAAUUUUAAUAAUUACAA
This 218-nucleotide unclassified non-coding RNA is filed under the name plant metagenome. Its description in RNAcentral is "partial contains small subunit ribosomal RNA and internal transcribed spacer 1". The stretch from base 1 to 46 matches the Rfam family "Eukaryotic small subunit ribosomal RNA", at positions 1786 to 1831 of the family's 1831-position model. The record is from RNAcentral.